CACUUUGUCUUUAAUGGCAAAUGUGAGAUGCAGUGUAUGGAAUGUCAAAUUUCUAGUAUGAGAAAUUAACGAUUUAAGUCCUUCUUAAAUGAGGCCAUUUACCCAUAGAGGGUGCCAGGCCCGUAUAACGUUAAUGAUUACUAGAUGACAUUUCCAAAGAGUCGUGUUGCUUGAUAGUGCAGCACUAAGUGGGUGGUAAACUCCAUCUAAAACUAAAUAUAACCAUGAGACCGAUAGCAAACAAGUACCGUGAGGGAAAGUUGAAAAGAACUCUGAAUAGAGAGUUAAAUAGUACGUGAAACUGCUUAGAGGUUAAGCCCGAUGAACCUGAAUAUCCAUUAUAGAAAAUUCAUCAUUAUGACUUUAAUAUUUUUUAAUAUUAUAAUAAUAGUGUGCAUUUUUUCUAUAAAGGACAUUGUAAUCUAUUAACAUAAAUAAAUUUAUCAAAAAAUCUUUUGCGUUAGUUUAUUCAAAUUAUUUUGCUUGCAAUUUAACAUAGAAUAAAUGCAUUGGAUUUGAUAAAGUGUUGAUAGAUUUAUUAUAUAUGGUGCUUGAAUAUAAUUUUUAUAUUCUAUAAUAGUAUAUUAAUUAAUAAUUUUUAUAUAUAUUUUAUGCACUUAUAUGAUUAACAAUGCGAAAGAUUCAGGAUACCUUCGGGACCCGUCUUGAAACACGGACCAAGGAGUCUAACAUAUUUGCAAGUUAUUGGGAAUAAAAACCUAAUAGCGAAAUUAACAUAACUUAAAUUAAUUGGGAUUAGUUUUUAAACUAUUUAUAGUUUAUUAAUUCAAUCCCGGGGCGUUCUAUUGUUAUGUAUAGUAAUAUUUAUAUUAUUUAUACCUCUAACUGGAGCGUACCUUGAGCAUAUAUGCUGUGACCCGAAAGAUGGUGAACUAUACUUGAUCAGGUUGAAGUCAGGGGAAACCCUGAUGGAAGACCGAAACAGUUCUGACGUGCAAAUCGAUUGUCAGAAUUGAGUAUAGGGGCGAAAGACCAAUCGAACCAU
RNAcentral lists this ribosomal RNA (1006 nucleotides) under Pseudochaeta siminina. RNAcentral's name for it is "eukaryotic LSU rRNA". It matches the Rfam family "Eukaryotic large subunit ribosomal RNA", at positions 113 to 943 of the family's 3401-position model. The record is from RNAcentral. Lineage: Eukaryota; Metazoa; Arthropoda; Insecta; Diptera; Tachinidae.